AAGGCCAUGGGGUGGGGGCGUGGUCAUAAGGGUUGGGUCCCAGAUGACAAGGGCAGCUGAAUGGAGAGGGAUGCAGUGCAGCCGCACCUGCCCUCUCGGCCACCUGGCUCUGCAGGGUGGUGGUGACCAUCAACAAGAAGAGGAACCUGGUGGUGUCUGUGGACGACGGUGGCACCUUUGAGGUUGUUUUGCACCGAGUGUGGAAGGGGAGCUCGGUCCACCAGGACUUCCUGGGCUUCUAUGUGCUGGACAGUCAUCGGAUGUCAGCCCGGACGCACGGGCUGCUGGGGCAAUUUUUCCACCCCAUCGGUUUUGAAGUGUCUGACAUCCGCCCAGGCUCCGACCCAACAAAGCCAGAUGCCACGAUGGUGGUGAGGAACCGCCGGCUCACGGUCACCAGGGGUUUGCAAAAAGACUACAGCAAGGACCCGCGGCAUGGGGCCGAGGUGUCCUGCUGGUUCAUUCACAACAAUGGGGCUGGACUCAUCGAUGGUGCCUACACUGAUUAUAUCGUCCCCGACAUCUUCUGAGCCCUCUGGCCAGCACGCCUGUCCUCCCCCGGGGCCAAGGCAGAGGAGGAGGACGACAUCCUGACCUGCUGCUGAGGCUGCACCUCCUUGACUAAGCUGGUUCCUUGUGUCAAAGCACCUCAUGCCUUCCAUUAAAGAGAGGCCGUGUCC
Molecule: small RNA, 680 nt
Filed under: Pan troglodytes (chimpanzee)
Lineage: Eukaryota; Metazoa; Chordata; Mammalia; Primates; Hominidae
Description: retained intron
Source: RNAcentral